UUCGGGGCGGGUCGACCGGUCUGCCGAUGGGUAUGCACUGGCCGACGCGUCCUUUUUGCCGGAGACCGUCCCUACUCUUAACUGAGCGGGGGCGGGAGACGGCACUUUUACUUUGAAAAAAUCAGAGUGUUUCAAGCAGGCAGCUCGCUCUUGCAUGGAUUAGCAUGGGAUAAUGAAAUAGGACUUUGGUGCUAUUUUGUUGGUUUCGAACACCGAAGUAAUGAUGAGAAGGGACAGUCAGGGGCACUCGUAUUCCGCCGAGAGAGGUGAAAUUCUCAGACCAGCGGAAGACGAACCACUGCGAAAGCAUUUGCCAGGGAUGUUUUCACUGAUCAAGAACGAAAGUAAGGGGAUCGAAGAUGAUCAGAUACCGUCGUAGUCUUUACCAUAAACCAUGCCGACUAGGGAUUGGAGGAUGUUCACUGAUUGACUCUUUCAGCACCUUACGGGAAACUAAAGUCUUUGGGUUCCGGGGGGAGUAUGGUCGCAAGGCUGAAACUUAAAGGAAUUGACGGAAGGGCACCACCAGGUGUGGAGCCUGCGGCUUAAUUUGACUCAACACGGGGAAACUUACCAGGUCCAGACAUUGUGAGGAUUGACAGAUUGAGAGCUCUUUCAUGAUUUAAUGGGUGGUGGUGCAUGGCCGUUCUUAGUUGGUGGAGUGAUUUGUCUGGUUAAUUCCGUUAACGAACGAGACCUUAGCCUGCUAAAUAGUGACGCGAACUCUUUGUUCGUGGGCCACUUCUUA
Molecule: ribosomal RNA, 748 nt
Filed under: uncultured marine eukaryote
Lineage: Eukaryota
Description: SSU rRNA
Rfam family: Eukaryotic small subunit ribosomal RNA
Source: RNAcentral